Molecule: small nuclear RNA, 107 nt
Organism: Tupaia belangeri (northern tree shrew)
Lineage: Eukaryota; Metazoa; Chordata; Mammalia; Scandentia; Tupaiidae
Source: Ensembl
GUGCUCACUUUGGCAGCACAUAUACUAAAAUUGGAACACUACAGAGAAGAUCAGCAUGCGCCCUGUGCAAGGAUGACAUGCAAAUUCGUGAAAAAUCACUUAUUUUG